GGAGUAGGGCAGAUGAUCGCCGGCCGCGGGUAAAAAGCGGUCGGAGGAAAGUCCGGGCUCCACAGGGCAAGGUGCUGGGCAACUCCCAGUCUCGGCGACGAGGAGGAAAGCGCAACAGAAAGCAGACCGCCUCUUGCGCUGGCGCAAGGGGUAAGGGUGAAACGGCGAGGUAAGAGCUCACCGGUCCCGGUGGCGACAUCGGGAGCCAGGCAAACCCCACCUGGAGCAAGACCGAAUAGGAGAGCGUUCGAGGGCUGCCCGUCCGAUGCUCUCGGGUUGGUUGCUUGAUCCCGCCGGUAACGGCGGGGCUAGAGGAAUGAUCAUGCCCCGUUCGUCUUCGGACGUUUGGGGAACAGAACCCGGCUUAUGCCCUGCUCCGGUU
Molecule: RNase P RNA, 382 nt
Filed under: Syntrophobacteraceae bacterium
Lineage: Bacteria; Pseudomonadati; Thermodesulfobacteriota; Syntrophobacteria; Syntrophobacterales; Syntrophobacteraceae
Description: RNase P RNA component class A
Rfam family: Bacterial RNase P class A
About the family: Ribonuclease P (RNase P) is a ubiquitous endoribonuclease, found in archaea, bacteria and eukarya as well as chloroplasts and mitochondria. Its best characterised activity is the generation of mature 5'-ends of tRNAs by cleaving the 5'-leader elements of precursor-tRNAs. Cellular RNase Ps are ribonucleoproteins.
Source: RNAcentral